RNAcentral lists this transfer RNA (84 nucleotides) under Microcaldota archaeon. Its description in RNAcentral is "tRNA-Ser". It matches the Rfam family "tRNA". From Rfam's summary of the family: Transfer RNA (tRNA) molecules are approximately 80 nucleotides in length. Their secondary structure includes four short double-helical elements and three loops (D, anti-codon, and T loops). The record is from RNAcentral. Lineage: Archaea; Nanobdellati; Microcaldota. RNAcentral also lists the same sequence under 2 other names.
GCCGAAGUCGCCUAAUCCGGUAGGGCGGCGGAUUGCUAAUCCGUUGUCAGCAAUGACUUAGGGGUUCAAAUCCCCUCUUCGGCG